RNAcentral lists this ribosomal RNA (344 nucleotides) under Bacillus sp. (in: firmicutes). RNAcentral describes it as "bacterial SSU rRNA". It matches the Rfam family "Bacterial small subunit ribosomal RNA", at positions 920 to 1266 of the family's 1533-position model. The record is from RNAcentral. Lineage: Bacteria; Bacillati; Bacillota; Bacilli; Caryophanales; Bacillaceae.
CCCGCACAAGCGGUGGAGCAUGUGGUUUAAUUCGAAGCAACGCGAAGAACCUUACCAGGUCUUGACAUCCUCUGACAAUCCUAGAGAUAGGACGUCCCCUUCGGGGGCAGAGUGACAGGUGGUGCAUAAAGUCGUCAGCUCGUGUCGUGAGAUGUUGGGUUAAGUCCCGCAACGAGCGCCACCCUUGAUCUUAGUUGCCAGCAUUCAGUUGGGCACUCUAAGGUGACUGCCGGUGACAAACCGGAGGAAGGUGGGGAUGACGUCAAAUCAUCAUGCCCCUUAUGACUCUGGGCUACACACGUGCUACAAUGGACAGAACAAAGGGCGGGAAACCGCGAGGUUAA